Molecule: ribosomal RNA, 305 nt
Filed under: uncultured bacterium
Lineage: Bacteria
Description: bacterial SSU rRNA
Rfam family: Bacterial small subunit ribosomal RNA
Source: RNAcentral
AUGGCCUACGGGACGCAGCAGUGGGGAAUAUUGCACAAUGGGGGAAACCCUGAUGCAGCGACGCCGCGUGAGCGAAGAAGUAUUUCGGUAUGUAAAGCUCUAUCAGCAGGGAAGAAAAAAAUGACGGUACCUGAGUAAGAAGCACCGGCUAAAUACGUGCCAGCAGCCGCGGUAAUACGUAUGGUGCAAGCGUUAUCCGGAUUUAUUGGGUGUAAAGGGCGUGUAGGCGGGAAAGCAAGUCAGAUGUGAAAACUCAGGGCUCAACCCUGAGCCUGCAUUUGAAACUGUUUUUCUUGAGUGCUGGG